Molecule: ribosomal RNA, 253 nt
Filed under: uncultured bacterium
Lineage: Bacteria
Description: partial 16S ribosomal RNA
Rfam family: Bacterial small subunit ribosomal RNA
Source: RNAcentral
UACGGGGGGGGCAAGCGUUGUUCGGAAUUACUGGGCGUAAAGGGCUCGUAGGCGGCCAACUAAGUCAGACGUGAAAUCCCUCGGCUUAACCGGGGAACUGCGUCUGAUACUGGAUGGCUAGAGGUUGGGAGAGGGAUGCGGAAUUCCAGGUGUAGCGGUGAAAUGCGUAGAUAUCAAGAGGAACACCUGAGGCGAAGGCGGGUUGCUAGGCUGACACUGACGCUGAGGCGCGAAAGCCAGGGGAGCAAACGGG